GGCUCAGUAGCAUAGUGGUUGUUGCACAGCCCCGGAUAGGUUGAGAUGCGGGUUUGAAUCCUGCCUGAGAUG
RNAcentral lists this transfer RNA (72 nucleotides) under Nippostrongylus brasiliensis. It matches the Rfam family "tRNA". From Rfam's summary of the family: Transfer RNA (tRNA) molecules are approximately 80 nucleotides in length. Their secondary structure includes four short double-helical elements and three loops (D, anti-codon, and T loops). The record is from Rfam by way of RNAcentral. Lineage: Eukaryota; Metazoa; Nematoda; Chromadorea; Rhabditida; Heligmosomidae.